Molecule: small RNA, 4138 nt
Filed under: Pongo abelii (Sumatran orangutan)
Lineage: Eukaryota; Metazoa; Chordata; Mammalia; Primates; Hominidae
Description: retained intron
Source: RNAcentral
GCAUUUGAUUUUCUCCUACUCAGUGUGGGUACUGAGAGACUUCCCAGAAGAUGGCCUGAAGAUAUUUACUGAAGAUCUCCCGGAAGUGGAGUCUCUGCCACGUGAUCGAGUCCUCGGCUUCUUAAUAGAGAAUUUUAAGGGUCUGGCUAUUCCUUAUCUGGUAAGGUAUUUUUUGGUCUGUACUGAAAAGCUUUAAUCCCAGGAUCCGGGACUGCGUGGUUCCAUUAUCGGGCUGUUCAGAUUUGGGAUUUUUGUCACUUGGGGAUUGGAAGGAUGAGGGUUAUUUCAGCUUCCUCUGAAGAAAAAGAUCCCGGUAGACCAAGCUGGAAAUGCUACCUACCAAAUCUAGGUAACGUACAGAGGGAUAAAAGAAUGAUGUUUUAGAAAAAAAAAUUCCAAAGCCACAUUUGUACAGCCAAACUCAAAAGUGACCACAGGACAAUCAAAUAGGCUUAAGUACCAGGAUGCAGAUAUUUAACCAUAAUUACAUGAGUCGCUGUGAGAGUUUGGAGGAUUAUGGGACAAAAUUAGUAAAAAGGAGUUUAGUAAUUGAGAAGAUGGCUCCUCACAUUACUGGGUCGCAUUGUGAAACUUCCUGGUGGCUUUAGACGAGCUGUCUCUUGGUCAUCUUUGCAGCCUGAUUAGGGGAUAAUCUGGAUGGGACCUGUUGGGCCUUAAAAAUGUGAGGGAGGCUGGGAGACUAGGUCACAGCCUGGAGAAUACCAGUGACAAAGACCUACAUCUUGCCUCAGGAACACAUCAUCCACGUUUGGGAGGAGACGGGCUCUCGGUUCCACAACUGCCUGAUCCAGCUCUACUGUGAGAAGGUGCAAGGUCUGAUGAAGGAGUAUCUCCUGUCCUUCCCUGCAGGUACCAGUUCUUUUAGGAAGCCGGUUGGCCCCAGGCCUUAGAGGAGAGCACAGACCCAGGUGCCACAUGUGGUGGGGGUAAGCAGGCCACCCUAUUCUCUGCCCAGGUGGGCAGAAGUUCUGACGAGGAGCCAGGGGAGCUAAGUGACACAGGCCUGGCACAUGAGACUCAGGAGCUCUUGUCUGGGUCCUGGCAUCUCUGAGUGUCUCAGAGUCAUCCCUGGGGGAGGGUGGAAGGAACAGACCUGUCUGCAAGAUAACAGCUAUACUGAUAAGAAACAGGUUUGCCCACAGAGUAUUUCCCUAUUCAGCUUAUUUUUUUAAGUGUAAGCUGAUGUUUUGGGGCCACAUGGAGACUAUGAACUAAAAGAAGUUAGCAUGGAAGCCACCCUGGAGGCCCUUUUUGGUCAUGUGGUGACAUCCUUGAACCCCAUUCCCUUCAUUUUUCUUGAUGACCCUACAUUGCCACCUGGCAGUGUCCUUUCAUUUUGAGCUUGGUUUCCCUUAAAGGCAAAACCCCAGUCCCAGCUGGAGAGGAAGAGGGUGAGCUGGGAGAAUACCGGCAAAAGCUCCUCAUGUUCUUGGAGAUUUCCAGCUGCUAUGAUCCAGGCCGGCUCAUCUGUGAUUUUCCCUUUGAUGGCCUCUUAGAAGAACGAGCUCUUCUGUUGGGGCGCAUGGGGAAACAUGAGCAAGCUCUUUUCAUUUAUGUCCACAUCUUGAAGGAUACAAGGAUGGCUGAGGAGUAUUGCCACAAACACUAUGACCAAAACAAAGAUGGCAACAAAGAUGUGUAUCUGUCCCUGCUUCGGAUGUACCUGUCGCCCCCCAGCAUUCACUGCCUGGGGCCAAUCAAGCUGGAACUACUGGAGCCAAAAGCCAACCUCCAGGCCGCUCUGCAGGUCCUCGAGCUGCACCACAGCAAACUGGACACCACCAAGGCCCUCAACCUUCUGCCAGCAAACACUCAGAUCAAUGACAUACGCAUCUUCCUGGAAAAGGUCUUGGAAGAAAAUGCACAAAAGAAACGGUUCAAUCAAGUACUCAAGAACCUUCUCCAUGCAGAGUUCCUGAGGGUCCAGGAAGAGCGGAUUUUACACCAGCAGGUGAAGUGCAUCAUCACAGAGGAGAAGGUGUGCAUGGUGUGUAAGAAGAAGAUUGGGAACAGUGCAUUUGCAAGAUACCCCAAUGGAGUGGUCGUGCACUACUUCUGUUCCAAAGAGGUAAACCCAGCUGACACUUGAGCCCAGCAUCAUGGGGAUCCAGCAGAUGGACAGCUUGGCUCUCCCAGAGAGGUGAAGGAGCACCUGGCCUUAGGAAUCCUGGCUGCCACCACCACAAGGUUCCCUAUUUGGACAUUACUGGCUAUCUUGUGCCCUGGAACAACUCUGAAUUAAUUAGACUCAUGGUCUGGCAUUGCCAGCUUUUUAAUGGGAAAAGAGAUUAGUUAUACCUUAUACCAUUAUGUUGUGGGCAAUUCCAGAGAAUUCAGUACCUGCUUGGUCAGGAGGAGGUGCACCAUCUUGCCUUUGCACACCAGUCACCUGAACAAGGAAACUUGUCACAAGUGUUUGUAACCAUGGGGUUGUUCAUCAAGGGCUUUUCUAUUAAGUACACGACUUCGCAAGGACCGCUCAGCAUGGCUCACUGGAGAGUUCCAUGAGAGAACAGCGCUCAAGCUUCUGGCCGCAUGGACCCGAUGGCUCGCGUUCUGUGUAGUGUUUUACGUCCCCAUGGUAGCCGUGCCCUGCACCCCUCAGUAGCCACCCUGUUAGUUUUCAGUCUCCUUUUCUUUCUCACUAUUUAUCACUUCCCUCACUGCCCUACCCAGGCUUUCUCUCCCACUUCCCCGACUCUGGGAAUAACUAAUAUUUAAGCAAGGUAAGAUGAGAAGCAAGGGGAAGUCUCAGUUCUAGGAAUACAGUGCUAGUUGAUUGUCAGGUAUGUUGUAAAUAGACCCUCUUUGGCCACACACUCCAUGCCUAGAUGCCUCGGAGAGCACCAUUCUCUGCCUAGGCAAGGCCCUGCAUCCCUCGCCUUAGGCCGGGCUGAGUGUGACCGCAGCUCCUGAGGAUGGGCCUGCCCUGUCUGGGGUAUGCGUGAUCCCUAGACACAUGUUCCCACAGAGGUGCCUGCUCCGUCUUCGCUCACCAGACACUCAGGCAGGCUGGCUUAGUCUCUGUGCGUGGCGAUUUUGUGCUCUGGGCCCUUUCUCUUUUUCCAGCCAGUUUCCAUUCAUUUGCCUUACAGCCUGCCCUGGCCAUCACUCCCCAGCUUUGUUCAGCAAUGGUGUGGUUGGAGGGUUGUGCUGGGAUAGCGCAGGAAGGUGGGUCCCGGCAGCACGCAGGGGAUGAGUGGACCUGGAACUGACAAUGGCGUGCUGCCAAGUGUUCCUGAGAGGUGUUUAGGCACAGCAGAGAGGAUGCGGGGGGCAAGAACAGCAGGACGCUGGUUUAAAAAUCACUCACCGCCAAACCUGUGGAGCAGUGUGGGGGAUCCUGCCAGAGGUGCACAGCCUGGAGUUUCAGGCACUGCAGGCUGAUGACACACAGGGAGAGUGGCCCUGCAUCCUGUCCUCCCUGGGGUUUUUGCAGACUCGAAGUCUCACUGCACCAGUGUCUUUGAUGGUGGUGAGGGUGGGUGCUGACAGUUUUAGUGGCCUGUCCUGGACAUGCUGUGGUCCUUUGUAAACCAUGGCCCCAUGCUGUGUGACAGAUCGACGUGCUGAUGGUAAGCAGACUAGGCUCCCCCAGGCACGCUGUCCGUGGGGGCCUGAAGAGACAGUGAAUGCCGUUGGCCCCAUUCGCAGAUGUGGGAGACUCUGCUCAGGCCUGUGAGGCUGGGCAGCCCUUCACCAGAGUUCGGAGGAGCAGUGUGUGGUGCCACGUCCCUACUGGCCAUACCCACAUAGAAGCAGUGCUGCCUGGGGCCUCGUCUGGGCCAGCUUGGACUCUGCUUCCUCCAGGAGCAGCAGGGAAGCGCUGGGCCACCUCCCUGGAUAGCAGGAACUUGCCCUGCCACGUGUGCCCUGCCUUCCUGGCCAGCUGUGCUUGUUAUCUUCCAUUCUCACAAACUGUGUUUGAAGCAAUAGAAUAAAGAAUGUGUGUUUUCUUUCCUGGUAUACAUACAUGAUCCCAUGUUCCCAAGCUCCAUUCUUCCUUCCCUCAACUCUCUGCCCUCCACAGAGCUAUGGAGAAGGCUGGAGAUGAAAGCUUUGUAGUGAGGACUGAUAAAGAUCUCAUUACUGCUCCUUACAAUAAACCUAAUAAAGC